Long non-coding RNA from Meleagris gallopavo (turkey), 2147 nucleotides. RefSeq lists it as uncharacterized. The record is from RefSeq and is a predicted model, not a curated record. NCBI's taxonomy places the organism in Eukaryota, Metazoa, Chordata, Aves, Galliformes, Phasianidae.
CAGUGGAUAACCAUUCUUUUCCUGAUAUAUUUACUUUUCUUUCAUUAAUGCAUCAAAAUCCACAAUAAAGAUAGUUUUCUUUAUAUAUACUAAGAAUUAAAUAUGUUGUUCUAAUUUUGAGAAAUACAUAUGUGUAGACAAUGUCAAUUCUUCAUAUUCCUUGAAGAGAUAUUGGUUAAUUAUUUUGCUGUUUUAUAAUUCUGUACGGAUUUAUUUUUUUUACUCAUGCAUUAGUAGGCUUUGAACUUGCAAAAAUUUCUUGCAGUAGGAAAGAAGUUAAGCCCUUGUAACUGCUUGAUGGCACCAUCCUGUCCUUCUAAGGUUAAAGCAAGACAGCACAUGAUUUCUUUUUCCUCACUCUCUUUUAGCACAUGAGCCAGAAGCAGACAAUCAGUUGAAACAGUGAUGAUUACAAAUGACAAUUUGUAGCAUGUGUUAUCACAGUCACUGUAUACAGUAAUUCAGCCAACAAUGAAUUUUGCUAACAACCAUGUGGAUUCAUGGAAAACCAUUUGUUUUCUGGAUGAAGUCAACUACAGACACAUUAUUACAGUACACUUUUCCCAGGAUCUGUAUUGAAUAAGCAGACUAAACACAGUGUUAGUUUAAAAGGUCUUUGCAGAUACUAGGUGAAAGCUGACCCCUUCAAAGUCAGUGACUAACAGUACGUAGAUGUUAGCAAGGCUAAUGUUAUAAUUAUCCACACAGCUAUUGGACUGUCAAAAAUUUUAGGGUUUUAUUUAGCCUGUUCACAACUGAGAGAAAUCUUCUCUCUCAAUAGCUUCCUCAGUUAUUUUAGUCAAAUAAAUUACAUCCCGGGCUCCCAGUCAGGCAGGGAUGUGACAGGCUCUUGAAGGUGUCAGAUGUGAACCUUGCUGAGCUUGAAGUUUUCCUGAGGUAACUGAAAAUUUUAAAUUCAUCUCUUGAAGGACACUGUUUCCCUGAGUGACAAUUCAGACAUAUUAAAUGUGGACGAUUAAGGAGCAGCUGCACUCGAUGGGCUUGUAGGAAAUAAGAAAUUUGAUGGAAUUACCCAGUGUGCAUCUAGACAAAAGCUUUAGACAUGUUUGGACAAAAGCAUGACUCAACAACUUAAACUAAAAUGUAAGGGAUUGCAACCGGGUAACAUCAACAUUUCCCAACAUAACAUUAAAGUAUGAGAAAAUGAGAAUCCAUGGAAUAACUUUGUCUGAGUAUGGAAGUGGCAUCUUUCCUCCCUGAGAGGCAAAGGGAACAGCAAGGACUCCCCGUUUGUCUUCAACAGCUAUGGCAGUGUAGUACUGAUUAGCUGUCCUAUCUACUGUGACUCUGUAAUGACAGCUUCCACAAAAUUAUCACCCAGCCAAAAUAGACUCAGUUCACAGGUUAAGUGUGCCAGUGUCAUUAAGUUAAAUGUAAGGAAUAAACAUGAUCAAUCUCCAUAAAUAACAAAGGCUGGGAGGGGAAGGAGCAGCCACUUCUGAGAAAGCAGAAAAUGGAACACAGCAAAAACCCAGCAAGUGGAAUUAUUUAUGUCACUGGGAAAACAGAGGACAUGGCUCAGGAGGAAAGGGACAUCAGUACUACAGAAAUUCUUGAUGGCCUAGGUCCUUCUUGAUCUUGCAACUUGGCCUCUGAAGCAUCUCAGAAGACAGCUGCAUUGAUUCUCUCACGUGCAUUGGACACUUGCAAGCUUUAACAAAGUAUAAGACCUGGAGAAGGCUACUGGAAAAAUCAAUGCAGACCCAUACUACUCUGGAAGGAGUAACAGGAAACACUGGGGUUUCUCAGAACUCCCUGAUUGCACUGAGAUGUGUCAAACAAUUUAAGGCACCCUUUUAGUGAGACAUUGAAAUGGUGGAAGGAAUGGAAAAGAGCACUGUAAUACUUCACAUGAAGAAUAGAGGAUAGAACAACGCUAAAAGGAGACUGCAAGACCAACAAGAUGUCAGUAAUAAACUGACAAUCACUCCAUUAAAAAAGAACUGAAGAGGAGAGAACUUGAGGAAACUGGAAAGACAGAAUUUCUGUGCAAUGUAUUUAUUCAUCAGGCCACUGAGCUGAAAAUCCACUUUUCUCACUUUUUGCAGUAAAUGCAAGCACAAAAACUACUUACUGAAAGAAAAAUCUUCAGCUUUAAGAAGGAAUUACAACAAACAAAAGUCAUU